RNAcentral lists this long non-coding RNA (1900 nucleotides) under Homo sapiens (human). Its description in RNAcentral is "long non-coding RNA NONHSAT080929.2". The record is from RNAcentral. Lineage: Eukaryota; Metazoa; Chordata; Mammalia; Primates; Hominidae.
UUCAUGACAUGUCUUUUCCCUCCACGCCUCCUGAGAUGGACGUGCUCACCUGGGCCUCGGAAAUCCCACACUCUUCAGUCGGCAAACUGCGAACAAGAACAGGAAAUCUGCCACGCAGCAAACACUUGGGGAGCCCUGAAGCUCAGCACUCCGGGGGGUCUUCACACGGGCAGGUCCUGGAGGGAAGGAGGAGGCCACCGCGCCCACCUCCCAUCUGAAGGCACAGCACCGCAGUGGUGGCCUGUGCCAGAGGAGGGGGUGAAGGAUGGAAUGUCCUCAUGGUGAGUGCUGUCAGAGGCAGGCCUGAACGAGAAGACAGGCCGUGGCAACGGUCCCGAGGCUGUGAGUCUAGGCAGCCUGCCUCCGGGACCCCCAAAGCCAGGCGGUGCACCACAGCACACACCGUGGGACCUUUGCUUUUCACUCAGGAAAAGAAAGAACAUGUGAGUGCUUCUGAAAACACAGCAAGAGGACUUGAGCACAAGCUAAAGGAAAAACAACCCUAUAUAGUUUCUUCGAGUGAGAAAAAUAAUGCCAAACAAAAUAAUUUUAUGUAACUACCUCGAUAUGUCUCUGACUACUUAAAAAUUUGGUUACCCACGCGGGGAGGUGUAAGCAGCACACUGCAGUUAGGAACACCGCCUCCAGUGUUAGCAGCAAAGGCAGGAGCCCAGCUCCAGCCCGUCCAGGAGGGGUCAGCAGGAGCGGCCGGGCUGGGCCAUGGGCAGAACAGGACGGGCAGAGCCCGGGGUGGACGUGGCAGCCCAAGGCUCUCCGAGGAAGUGCACACGACUGAGCCGAGGCCCUUGCAGAGGGAACCUGGUGUGGCCUGAAGUGGUGGGGGGCACAGGGCUGAGGGUCCCCUCCUGGAAGGAGCCCCCAGGGCUGUGUCCACCUAAGAUAGCACCUGGAGCCCUCGGCCUCCAGCAGGGUCUGCAGCUGUGUUGUGUGUUAAGCACCAAAGCCCAGAGGUAAGACGGUGGCAGGGCUCUCUGUGCACCUGGAUUCUACAGGCUGCCAUGGGCCACGGCUGCACCACGGGCCACGGCUGCAGCCACAGGCAGUGACCUGGCUGCUAGGGGAGGGGAGGGCGGGCUCCAGCCGGGCUGACCGGGUGUCUGUAAAACUCUGCACCUGCUCAGGCCAGGGGCCUCUGGGCCGAACACACCACCCCGCCCAGUGCCCACUGGACCCGGCCACAGGCCCAUCACGUGUCCAAGCCAGGCUGGCCAUCACAGGGGCCACUCACACACCCGCACCACCUGCUGGGGACUUAGGACCGUGCUCUCCCUUCACUCAAACCCACCCUGUGCCCUCCCCCAACUCACUUCAUGUCUGGUCCCAGAGCACCCCUCUUGCUGGGGUCGCACCUGCUUAGCCCGCAGGGCUGGUUUCCGUGGGGGGUGGGUUCAGGGGGAAGCAGAGGAGGGGCCGCGAGAGGGGUGAGCGUGGCCCUGGCCCCGCAGUGGAGACCCACCGGACACACACACGGGUGGACGGAGCGAGGCAGCCACCGACCCUGCCGGCGGGCGGGCCUAGGAGAGCCAGGCGAAGUCCUUGUCAGGGCCUCCUGGGGGGCUGCGCGGCCGCGGCGAGUCUUCCUCAUCCUUGUCGUCCGCCAACAGCGCAUCCUCAGGGGCCAGGCCCUCGUCGUCCUCGCCCAGCUCCUCCGCCUCCCCUCGUGGGUCCUCAGGGUCCUCCAGAUAGGGCCCGUCGCCUGGGAACAGCGCCUCUGGAGAGCCCUCGCCGCCUCCGCCGCCAUGGUCCAGGGGCCCGGCCAUGCCGCGGCCAGCACAGUCGGUGCACACACCGUGGCGCCUGGAGCCAUGCCUGAUGCCCACGCUGGCGGCGGACAUGAAGACGCGGCUGCACACCUUGCACACAUACUUCUUGUCCUUGC